Anopheles merus is the source of this 1346-nucleotide long non-coding RNA. RefSeq lists it as uncharacterized. The record is from RefSeq and is a predicted model, not a curated record. Lineage: Eukaryota; Metazoa; Arthropoda; Insecta; Diptera; Culicidae. The transcript has 5 exons.
GUGUUAUUUUAUUAAUAGCAGGAAGGUUUUACAUUAAUGUGCAACGCAUAGGAUCGCCGUUCAAAGUGCUCGCACGCCCGCAGCUGAGCGAAAAGUGAUGUGGAAAAACAUCAGGCGACAGAUUAUUUAAAUGAGAUGCGUGCGUUCACAAGUGCGUGAAGUUACAGUGGGCAAUUUGGGCAGUAUGGAUAGGGGUGUGGCAAUGGAAAACGGGACUGCGACACUGCGCCGAUACAGAUCAACCGAAAGCAGCUAAACUACUGAUCAGGGAAGAACCAUGGCCAAUACGUCCCGUAGUUUUUUUGUGUGUGCUGCCAGGACUGCUCUCAGUUAACCACGUCGUGCUAGCAUGGUCAGGAUGCCAAUAGUUGUCCUAGUCGUUCGGCCCAAGCUUGUAUUCCUUCAUCCUCAUCUGCUCCUGAUCUGCGAUAAGUGCUGCUCCUCCUGCUCCAGCCCUCUAGGUUGCUGGGCGGUCCUGUGCGUAGUGCCGUACGACAGAUAGUUCGCUCUCAAGCAAAUGUGCCGGCUAUUGCAUCCUAUUGGCUUUACAUAGCUUUGCAAGAUGAUCCGGGGCCACAUAGCUCUGCAAAAAUCCAAAAAGUAGCACGCCAUAAAGAUGGUUCGGAUGAUGGUUCGGCGUCGUCUAAACAGGUCGAUCCGAACCCACCGGGUAAGAGCCAUCCGUUAGCAACCCGGAGUAGUUCGGAUGACCUGGUAGGGUGCAAUCAUUCGGGUCAAUACGAACUCGUCUCUGACCUAGCGCACCUGCUGCAUCCACGGGUCUGAUUCGUUUCCGAUUGGCAUGACCCGUGGGUCUUAAAACCCCAAAAACUCUCGCUCGAAAAAUCAAAAACCAUUUAAGGCCGGGCUACAUUGAUCGUACUCCUGAGUGUAAUUUUUGUGAACGCGUACGCCAUCUAGCGGCGGCGGGUCGAAGCUAGAGGCUGGUAUAAUUUAUCUGUCAAAAAGCGUUUUGGGUCGAGGAGCCUAUAAUUUUGAUCACAAACCAGUAAACAAACAGCUCGCCAUGGAACAAGCAGGAAGCAGUCGACGCAAUGAAAAAAUAGUAAGUACAACGACUUACAAAAACAAUCGCCAGCGAGGGAAAAUCGCAUCGAUUUGGAGCGUUGGCGAGCACUCGAAAAGCCGGAUUUUGGCCUGCGGCUUGUGUUUACACGAUCGGGUGCGAUUCUUUUCGAUGCGAAAGCCAUAAAGGGUCGCCUACACAGAGUGCUGUUUGUUUGUCAAAAUAGAUCGCAAUCGUUAAAAUCUGUCAUUUUAUUUCAAACAUCCAACCAAAACUGGCUUCGCCAAAUGCUACAAAAACUUAUAAAUUUCAAUAAAUA